RNAcentral lists this ribosomal RNA (413 nucleotides) under uncultured prokaryote. Its description in RNAcentral is "bacterial SSU rRNA". It matches the Rfam family "Bacterial small subunit ribosomal RNA", at positions 505 to 918 of the family's 1533-position model. The record is from RNAcentral.
GUGUCAGCAGCCGCGGUAAUACGUAGGCAGCAAGCGUUGUUCGGAGUUACUGGGCGUAAAGAGUGUGUAGGCGGUUCGGUUAGUUCGGUGUGAAAUCUCCCGGCUCAACUGGGAGGGUGCGCCGGAUACUGCCGGGCUUGAGUGCGGGAGAGGAGAGCGGAAUUCCUGGUGUAGCGGUGAAAUGCGUAGAUAUCAGGAGGAACACCGGCGGUGUAGACGGCUCUCUGGACCGUGACUGACGCUGAGACACGAAAGCGUGGGGAGCAAACAGGAUUAGAUACCCUGGUAGUCCACGCCCUAAACGAUGCGCACUUGGUGUGAGCCAUUCAGUUGGUUCGUGCCGGAGCUAACGCGUUAAGUGCGCCGCCUGGGGAGUACGGUCGCAAGGCUGAAACUUAAAUGAAUUGACGGGG